Molecule: ribosomal RNA, 332 nt
Filed under: uncultured bacterium
Lineage: Bacteria
Description: bacterial SSU rRNA
Rfam family: Bacterial small subunit ribosomal RNA
Source: RNAcentral
AGCGUAGGCGGUUCCUUAAGUCGGACGUGAAAUCUUCUGGCUCAAUCAGAAGGGGUCAUUUGAUACUGAGGGACUUGAGAGCAGCAGAGGGAAAUGGAAUUUCCGGUGUAGCGGUGAAAUGCGUAGAUAUCGGGAAGAACACCAGUGGCGAAGGCGAUUUCCCAGGUUGUUUCUGACGCUGAGGCUCGAAAGCGUGGGCAGCGAAGCGGAUUAGAUACCCGCGUAGUCCACGCCCUAAACGGUGGACACUAGAUAUAGGAGGUAUCGACCCUUUCUGUGUCGAAGCUAACGCUUUAAGUGUCCCGCCUGGGGAGUACGACCGCAAGGUUGAA